AUUGAACGCUGGCGGCAGGCCUAACACAUGCAAGUCGGGCGAGAGGCGGACGGGAGAGUAAUGUAUGGGGAUCGGACUGAUGGCGGGGGAUAACUACUGGAAACGGAUGCCAAAACCGCAUACCAGAAGAUGGAUCCAUAUGGGAUUUGGUUGUGGGUGGGGUAACGGCUCACCUCGGCGACGAUCCCUAGCUGGCCUGAGAGGAUGAUCAGCCACACUGGGACUGAGACACGGCCCAGACUCCUACGGGAGGCAGCAGUGGGGAAUAUUGGACAAUGGGCGAAAGCCUGAUGCAGCCAUGCCGCGUGUAUGAAGAAGGCCUUCGGGUUGUAAAGUACUUUCAGUCGGGAGGCGUUACCGACAGAAGAAGCACCGGCUAACUCCGUGCCAGCAGCCGCGGUAAUAC
RNAcentral lists this ribosomal RNA (406 nucleotides) under uncultured bacterium. RNAcentral describes it as "partial 16S ribosomal RNA". It matches the Rfam family "Bacterial small subunit ribosomal RNA", at positions 29 to 526 of the family's 1533-position model. The record is from RNAcentral.